UGAUCAUCUGGGAGAGGCUUGGAGUACAGCCACUUCUUAUCCACAUCAAGAAUAAUCAGCUUGAAAAUAUUUUUUUGGAUGCCUCUCUAGGGAGGUUUUCCAGGCACAUCUCAACAAAAGAAGGCCGAGGACACGAUGGAGAGACAAGUACAAAAAUGGGAAGAACCCGACUGAAACCUGAAGCUCAGGAUGUGUCUCAACUGAAAACCUGCCUGCCUGCUCUCAGUAACAAACCUGAAGAUCAAACUGUCUGGAUCUCCCAACCUUCCUCCAAGAAGGACUUGGAGAAGCUCUGAACUCUACAAGCCUGAAGCUAGGUCCUGUCGCUGCCAAGCCCUCUGCUGUCGAUCAGUCUCUAGACCCUCCUGGUUCCCUCCCUCUGCCGUUCAGCCUGAAUCUCUGAACAGAGAGCCUUGUGUGACCAGUCCCGGAUCUAAUUCCAGUAUCUGUCAAGUAACCUUGUGCUUAUCUACCCCAACAUGACACCAAGAAACUAAAUCAGACCAAUUUUGAACUGAUUACAUGUACUUACAUCAGGCCUUAGGUAGAAUCUUUACCACUGUCACCUAAUUGGCAACAGUGGCCUAAUUCCACAAACUGGAUCAGUUUUGAUUUUGAGAAAAAAAAAAAAAAAAAAACAGGUAUGUUUGUAUGUUUGGUCCUUAUUACACAUAAUAGAAUUUAAUAUUGCCUGUGAUUCACACAAGUCAAACCUUUUAAACAGUACUCAGAAUGAAGUUGCCUCAAACUUUCUUUUGUAAAACUCAGGAAUCAGAUUAUCGAUAUCAGUGAUAUUGUACUUGUUACAAUGCAGUUUCUAAUCCCAUCCCAACAAAAACAGUAGAAAGCAUUACAUUUCUGCCUAAAGUGAAUAAAGUUUUCUUACCUAACACAGCCAGCAGCUGGAGUAUCUUGCUCUCACUGUUAAACAUAGAGUGGUAUCUGUCCGCUUUCCUAGAAAUGUGUUUACUUCCCUUCCUUCCUUCUCCAUUAACCAGCUUUGCAUGUGUUGUCUAGUAAAUAAUGAAUACCAUCAGC
This is a long non-coding RNA of Cyprinodon tularosa, 1038 nucleotides long. RefSeq lists it as uncharacterized. NCBI's taxonomy places the organism in Eukaryota, Metazoa, Chordata, Actinopteri, Cyprinodontiformes, Cyprinodontidae. The record is from RefSeq and is a predicted model, not a curated record. The transcript is spliced from 3 exons.